GGGUGUUGCAUGGCUGUCGUCAGCUCGUGUCGUGAGAUGUUCGGUUAAGUCCGCUAACGAGCGCAACCCUCGUCGUAUGUUAUAUGUGUCAUACGAGACUGCCGGUAAAAGCCGGAGGAAGGUGAGGAUGAUGUCAAGUCAGCAUGACCUUUAUAUCCAGGGCUACACACACGCUACAAUGGUCUGUACAAUGGGUAGCCAAGCCGCGAGGCGGAGCCAAUCCUGAAAGCAGGCCUCAGUUCAGAUUGCAGUCUGCAACUCGACUGCAUGAAGCCGGAGUUGCUAGUAACCGCAGGUCAGCAAUACUGCGGUGAAUACGUUCCCGGGUCUU
Molecule: ribosomal RNA, 331 nt
Filed under: uncultured Anaerolineaceae bacterium
Lineage: Bacteria; Bacillati; Chloroflexota; Anaerolineae; Anaerolineales; Anaerolineaceae
Description: bacterial SSU rRNA
Rfam family: Bacterial small subunit ribosomal RNA
Source: RNAcentral